Molecule: ribosomal RNA, 497 nt
Filed under: uncultured bacterium
Lineage: Bacteria
Description: partial 16S ribosomal RNA
Rfam family: Bacterial small subunit ribosomal RNA
Source: RNAcentral
GAUGAACGCUGGCGGCGUGCCUAAUACAUGCAAGUCGAGCGAACAGAUGAGGAGCUUGCUCCUCUGACGUUAGCGGCGGACGGGUGAGUAACACGUGGAUAACCUACCUAUAAGACUGGGAUAACUUCGGGAAACCGGAGCUAAUACCGGAUAAUAUAUUGAACCGCAUGGUUCAAUAGUGAAAGACGGUUUUGCUGUCACUUAUAGAUGGAUCCGCGCCGCAUUAGCUAGUUGGUAAGGUAACGGCUUACCAAGGCAACGAUGCGUAGCCGACCUGAGAGGGUGAUCGGCCACACGGGAACUGAGACACGGUCCAGACUCCUACGGGAGGCCGCAGUAGGGAAUCUUCCGCAAUGGGCGAAAGCCUGACGGAGCAACGCCGCGUGAGUGAUGAAGGUCUUCGGAUCGUAAUACUCUGUUAUUAGGGAAGAACAAAUGUGUAAGUAACUAUGCACGUCUUGACGGUACCUAAUCAGAAAGCCACGGCUAACUACGUG